UACGGAGGGGGCUAGCGUUGUUCGGAAUUACUGGGCGUAAAGCGCGCGUAGGCGGACCUGCAAGUCGGGGGUGAAAGCCCGAGGCUCAACCUCGGAACUGCCUUCGAUACUGCGGGUCUCGAGUCCGGGAGAGGUGAGUGGAAUUCCUGGUGUAGCGGUGAAAUGCGCAGAUAUCAGGAGGAACACCAAUUGCGAAGGCAGCUCGCUGGGACGUUACUGACGCUGAGACGCGAAAGCGUGGGGAGCGAACAGG
This 253-nucleotide ribosomal RNA is filed under the name uncultured bacterium. RNAcentral describes it as "partial 16S ribosomal RNA". It matches the Rfam family "Bacterial small subunit ribosomal RNA", at positions 524 to 776 of the family's 1533-position model. The record is from RNAcentral.